Non-coding RNA from Pelobates cultripes (western spadefoot toad), 212 nucleotides. NCBI's taxonomy places the organism in Eukaryota, Metazoa, Chordata, Amphibia, Anura, Pelobatidae. The record is from the annotation of a GenBank genome assembly.
GUGUGUCUGUUAGUAUGUGUGUAUCUUUCUGUGUGUGUGUCUGUGUCCUUUUGUAUCAGUGUGUGUGUCUGUGUUUUUGUCUGUGUGUGUAUUCCUGUGGGUGGGAUUUGGAGGCGGGCACCCAGGGGCCCAGACCUUGAGCUAUGUUAGGGGCCCCAAAAUUUCUGAUGGCGGCCCUGAUCCACUCUACAUCAGCGGGUAUUAUGUUGCAG